Molecule: unclassified non-coding RNA, 169 nt
Filed under: soil metagenome
Description: partial contains 5.8S ribosomal RNA, internal transcribed spacer 2, and large subunit ribosomal RNA
Source: RNAcentral
AAGACUAUAGACCUGCGGAGUACCUGCGGAAGGAUCAUUAGUGAACGCCCUCACGGGCUUAUAACUAUUCCAAACCUCUGUGAACCGUGCCCUUCGGGGCUAUUUUACAAACAUGGUGUAAUGAACGUCAUAUAUCAUAACGAAACAAAACUUUUAACAAUGGAUCUCU